AGGGCGCAUGGUGAAUGCCUUGGCAUCAGGAGCCGAUGAAGGACGUGAUAAGCUGCGAUAAGCUUCGGGUAGGCGCACAUAGCCUGAGAUCCGAAGAUCUCCGAAUGAGGAAACUCACAUGGGAAACCCCAUGUAUCAUUAAGUGAAUACAUAGCUUAAUGAAGGUAACCCAGGGAACUGAAACAUCUAAGUACCUGGAGGAAGAGAAAGAAAAAUCGAUUUUCUUAGUAGCGGCGAGCGAAAGGGAAAGAGCCCAAACCGGAAACUUGUUUCCGGGGUUGUGGACAUAGCAUAAAAGUGGAGGCUAUUGUAACUGAAGAGAACUGGAAAGUUCCACCGUAGAAGGUAAUAGUCCUGUAAGUGAAACGAGAAGACCACGAGUUAUGAUCCAGAGUACCACGAGACACGUGAAACCUUGUGGGAAGCAGGGAGGACCACCUCCCAAGGCUAAAUACUACCUGAUGACCGAUAGUGAAGCAGUACCGUGAGGGAAAGGUGAAAAGAACCCCGGGAGGGGAGUGAAAUAGAACCUGAAACCGUGUGCCUACAACCGCUCAGAGCCCCUUAUGAGGGUGAUGAGGUGCUUUUUGUAGAACGAGCCAACGAGUUACGGUAUGUAGCAAGGUUAAGUACUUAAGGUACGGAGCCGAAGGGAAACCGAGUCUGAAUAGGGCGACUAGUUGCAUGCCGUAGACCCGAAACCGGGUGACCUAUCCAUGGCCAGGUUGAAGCGAGGGUAAAACCUCGUGGAGGACCGAACCACGUUGCUGUUGAAAAAGCAUGGGAUGAGCUGUGGAUAGCGGAGAAAUUCCAAUCGAACCCGGAGAUAGCUGGUUCUCUCCGAAAUAGCUUUAGGGCUAGCGUCGAGUAUGAGUAGUGGAGGUAGAGCACUGAAUGGGCUAGGGGGCAUAGCGCUUACCGAACCUUAUCAAACUCCGAAUGCCACAUACUUUGAGCUCGGCAGUCAGACUACGAAUGAUAAGAUCCGUGGUCAAAAGGGAAACAGCCCAGAUCGUCAGCUAAGGUCCCAAAGUGUAAGUUAAGUGGGAAAGGAUGUGAGAUUUCUAAGACAACUAGGAUGUUGGCUUAGAAGCAGCCAUUCAUUAAAAGAGUGCGUAAUAGCUCACUAGUCGAGAGAUCUUGCGCCGAAAAUGUAACGGGGCUAAACUUACCACCGAAGCUACGGGCUUGAACUUAGUUCAAGCGGUAGGAGAGCGUCGUAACCGGGCUGAAGUCGUACCGUAAGGAGCGGUGGACUGGUUACGAGUGAGAAUGUUGGCAUCAGUAGCGAGAUGUGGGUGAGAAUCCCACAGGCCGAAAACCUAAGGUUUCCUCAGGAAGGUUCGUCCGCUGAGGGUUAGUCGGGACCUAAGCCGAGGCCGAAAGGCGUAGGUGAUGGACAACUGGUUGAUAUUCCAGUACCACUACCAUCGUUAUUAUCGAUGGCGUGACGCAGGAGGAUAGUGUGUGCUAGCUAUUGGAUGCUAGUCUAAGCGUUUAGGCAGUGAGAGUAGGCAAAUCCGCUCUCAUAAUGCUGAGGCGUGAUGGGGAAGGUUCUACGGAACCGAAGUACAUGAUUCCACGCUGCCAAGAAAAGCGUCUAGAGAGAGAAGUAGUGCCCGUACCGCAAACCGACACAGGUAGGUGAGGAGAGAAUCCUAAGGCCGGCGGAAGAAUUACAGUUAAGGAACUCGGCAAAUUGACCCCGUAAGUUCGCGAGAAGGGGUGCCUACGAGAGUAGGCCGCAGAGAAUAGGCCCAAGCAACUGUUUAGCAAAAACACAGGUCUCUGCUAAAGCGUAAGCUGAUGUAUAGGGGCUGACGCCUGCCCGGUGCUGGAAGGUUAAGGGGAACACUUAGCGCAAGCGAAGGUGUGAACUUAAGCCCCAGUAAACGGCGGCCGUAACUAUAACGGUCCUAAGGUAGCGAAAUUCCUUGUCAGGUAAGUUCUGACCCGCACGAAUGGCGUAAUGACUUGGGCACUGUCUCAACUGUAAAUCCGGCGAAGUUGUAGUGCGAGUGAAGAUGCUCGCUACCCGCGAUUGGACGGAAAGACCCCGUAGAGCUUUACUGUAGCUUAGCAUUGAGUUUUGGUAUUGUCUGUACAGGAUAGGUGGGAGACUAGGAAACCAGGGCGUCAGCCUUGGUGGAGUCAACCUUGGGAUACCACCCUGACAGUACUGAAAUUCUAACUGGCGGCCAUGAAUCUGGUCACAGGACAUUGUUAGGUGGGCAGUUUGACUGGGGCGGUCGCCUCCUAAAAAGUAACGGAGGCGCCCAAAGGUUCCCUCAGAACGGUCGGAAAUCGUUCGAAGAGUGCAAAGGCAGAAGGGAGCCUGACUGCGACACCCACAAGUGGAGCAGGGACGAAAGUCGGGCUUAGUGAUCCGGUGGUACCUCGUGGGAGGGCCAUCGCUCAACGGAUAAAAGCUACCUCGGGGAUAACAGGCUGAUCUCCCCCAAGAGUCCACAUCGACGGGGAGGUUUGGCACCUCGAUGUCGGCUCGUCGCAUCCUGGGGCUGAAGUAGGUCCCAAGGGUUGGGCUGUUCGCCCAUUAAAGCGGCACGCGAGCUGGGUUCAGAACGUCGUGAGACAGUUCGGUCCCUAUCCGUCGCGGGCGUAGGAAAUUUGAGAGGA
RNAcentral lists this ribosomal RNA (2637 nucleotides) under human gut metagenome. Its description in RNAcentral is "bacterial LSU rRNA". It matches the Rfam family "Bacterial large subunit ribosomal RNA". The record is from RNAcentral.